GGGCGGGGCGAGGCGGGGCGGAGCUGGGGAGCCGAGUCAGCCCGAGUGGCACUCUUAAGACCUCUGGCAUCAAGAUGGUCAUGACCUGAGCACCCAGGAAGGAAGACAGCUGGAGCCAGGUGGGGAGAUAAACAGGGUUCUGGAAAGGCCUCCCGACUACAGUAAGGGAUCAGACUCAGAUUCGUCCAGUGGUCCAACACAGGCUCAGUCUGGCUAUCUGGGCAUCUAGAAUUUUCCCCGAUGAAAUCUGCAAGAAACUGCAGGGGGAAAGUUUGAAACUGCAGAGACCCCAGAGAUGGCGGAGGAAGGAGCUGGCUGGUGGCCACUGUGAAUUGUAAUUUGAAAGGAAUCAACCAGAA
Molecule: long non-coding RNA, 359 nt
Filed under: Mus pahari (shrew mouse)
Lineage: Eukaryota; Metazoa; Chordata; Mammalia; Rodentia; Muridae
Description: lncRNA (MGP_PahariEiJ_G0002766.1)
Source: RNAcentral